AACGAACGCUGGCGGCAUGCCUAACACAUGCCAGUCGAACGAUUGCCUUCGGGUGAUAGUGGCGCACGGGUGCGUAACGCGUGGGAAUCUGCCCUUAGGUUCGGAAUAACAGCUGGAAACGGCUGCUAAUACCGGAUGAUAUCGCGAGAUCAAAGAUUUAUCGCCUGAGGAUGAGCCCGCGUUGGAUUAGGUAGUUGGUGGGGUAAAGGCCUACCAAGCCGACGAUCCAUAGCUGGUCUGAGAGGAUGAUCAGCCAAACUGGGACUGAGACACGGCCCAGACUCCUACGGGAGGAAGCAGUGGGGAAUAUUGGACAAUGGGCGCAAGCCUGAUCCAGCAAUGCCGCGUGAGUGAUGAAGGCCCUAGGGUUGUAAAGCUCUUUUACCCGGGAAGAUAAUGACUGUACCGGGAGAAUAAGCCCCGGCUAACUCCGUG
This 435-nucleotide ribosomal RNA is filed under the name uncultured bacterium. RNAcentral's name for it is "partial 16S ribosomal RNA". It matches the Rfam family "Bacterial small subunit ribosomal RNA", at positions 29 to 507 of the family's 1533-position model. The record is from RNAcentral.